Molecule: ribosomal RNA, 367 nt
Filed under: uncultured organism
Description: bacterial LSU rRNA
Rfam family: Bacterial large subunit ribosomal RNA
Source: RNAcentral
CUUUACUGUAGCCUGGUAUUGGGUUCGGGCUUUGCUUGCGCAGGAUAGGUGGGAGGCGUUGAGAUAUUCCUUGUGGGGAAUGUGGAGCCAACGGUGAGAUACCACUCUGGUGAGGCUAGAAUUCUAACCCGAUGCCGUGAACCGGCUCGGGAACAGUUUCAGGCGGGCAGUUUGACUGGGGCGGUCGCCUCCUAAAAGGUAACGGAGGCGCGCAAAGGUUCUCUCAGGCUGGUUGGAAAUCGGCCGUAGAGUGUAAAGGCAUAAGAGAGCUUGACUGCGAGACGUACAGGUCGAGCAGGGUGGAAACACGGCCUUAGUGAUCCGACGGCGCUGCGUGGAAGGGCCGUCGCUCAACGGAUAAAAGUUA